RNAcentral lists this long non-coding RNA (1041 nucleotides) under Chloebia gouldiae (Gouldian finch). RNAcentral describes it as "Erythrura gouldiae (Gouldian finch) lncRNA (ENSEGOG00005005345.1)". Lineage: Eukaryota; Metazoa; Chordata; Aves; Passeriformes; Passeridae. The record is from RNAcentral.
GAGCACUUAGACCUAAAUUUAGUGAAACUUAACUUUGCUUGGUGUUAUCAGCACUCAACUUAUUGCAGGUUAUUAUCUAUAAAGGUUGUGGCUUAUUUCAAUAUUAUUAACACAGCUAAUUCUGAGUUUCUCUGCUGUUUCUGAGUUCCCAGCUUUCUGGAAAUCUUUGCACCUUUACUGUUCCCCACAGCUGUUGGAGCCACAGCUGGAGCUUCGUUCACAGCCACGCUCAGAGGCUCCUGUGCCACCAGAGCAGGGCAGGAUGGCUCUGCCAGGCUGUGCCCUCCUCCCUGGCUGCUGGCAGGAGCUCAGGAGCAGCAGGAAAGGACUCCAGACCUGCUCCAGACCUGCUGGAACUCUGCUGCUUCCACAACCAAAUCAGGCAAUUACCCCCAUGAAGGAGCUCAGAUGGGAUGAAAACAUCUGCUUCCUUCUGGAAUCCGUGCACAUCUGCCCUAAACAAAGUGAAAAUUCGGUGUGAGAACUCUUAAGGACUGGAUUGCUGAGGUUUUUCUGCAGUGCUACCUUCUCUGCAAUUAGAUAACAGCUUAAAAUCUGAUUACUGAGUUAUUUUUUACCUCUCAGAAUGCACAGGCACAAGCAAAGUCUCUGUUGAGAGCUGAUUUGAUGCCAGUUAAAUAUUCAGGUAGUCCUCUGAAGGCACUGCAAAUCAAAUACCCGAAACAUCUUGUGCAGAGUGAGAAUUUCCACAUUUCUAAAUGUGUAUUUUCCUGCCAUUCCCAGCGGAGGUUCUCACUGUUGCUUUUUCCAAGGCCCUUUCAAGCUGUUAGUGAGUUCAGAGUUUCACUGGGAUGUUUUCUCAGGUAGGGGAAUCCUCUUGAUGUGCUGGUUAUGCUGGUAAAGAGAAAGUACAACUCUGAGAGCAGUUUUGGACCUGAGAGAGGUGAUGUGACAGAGGCUCCCUCACAGCAAGAUCCUUUUUUACUUCCAGCAGACACAAACCUGGCAGCUGGAAGGAUUUGAAAUGUGGGGGAGCUGAGGAAUCUGAACACUCCCAAGGCUUUCUUGAGCUCCCAAGGA